Molecule: ribosomal RNA, 63 nt
Filed under: Colletotrichum acutatum
Lineage: Eukaryota; Fungi; Ascomycota; Sordariomycetes; Glomerellales; Glomerellaceae
Also listed under: 2 other names
Description: partial 28S ribosomal RNA
Rfam family: Eukaryotic large subunit ribosomal RNA
Source: RNAcentral
UGACCUCGGAUCAGGUAGGAAUACCCGCUGAACUUAAGCAUAUCAAUAAGCGGAGGAAAAGAA